This is a long non-coding RNA of Balaenoptera acutorostrata (minke whale), 502 nucleotides long. RefSeq lists it as uncharacterized. Lineage: Eukaryota; Metazoa; Chordata; Mammalia; Artiodactyla; Balaenopteridae. The transcript is spliced from 3 exons. The record is from RefSeq and is a predicted model, not a curated record.
CGGGCUCGGGGUGGCCGAUUUGGGGUGUCAUGGAAGGAAGCGCCGAGCUGGGAGUCACGGCAGGUCCUGGUGAUGAGAAGGGAGCAUUGCCUCAGUGGGAUCUUCCCUCAAACACAUAACCUCACUCUGAUCAUGAGAAAACAGCAUACAGACCUCAACUGAGGGACAUUCAACAAAAUACCUGACCAGCAGUACUCUUCAAAAGUGCCAAGGUUAUGCAAAACAAGGAAAGCCAGAUGCUAUGAACUGCAGAGAGCUGCACCCCAAAGUGGACUAUCUGCCACCUAUCCCCAAGGAAUGAGGUGGGAACGAGGUUGCCCUGAGGUGGCAACACCUACAGACACAAAAAUGCUUUGGCCACUUGGGAGAAUCCAGUACGAGAGACCGCAUGUCAUUCCUGAUGGUGAUUUUCUGUGAAGACGCACAGUACAGAUAACGAAAUGCUACACAUGCCCGCAUUGCUAACUCGCCCGUAUGUGCACACGUGGGCGCACACAGCCUU